GGCCUAACACAUGCAAGUCGAACGAGAAGGUUCUGCUUCGGCGGGACGAGUAGAGUGGCGCACGGGUGAGUAACGCGUAGGUAAUCUACCUUUAUAUCUGGGAUAACCAGCCGAAAGGCUGGCUAAUACCGGAUACGCUUCAAUAUACGCGAGUAUUUUGAAGGAAAGGUGCCCUCUGUAACAAGGUGCCGUAUAGAGAUGAGCCUGCGUACCAUUAGCUAGUAGGUGGGGUAACGGCCCACCUAGGCGACGAUGGUUAGCGGGUCUGAGAGGAUGAUCCGCCACACUGGAGCUGGAACACGGACCAGACUCCUACGGGAGGCAGCAGUGAGGAAUUUUGCGCAAUGGGGGCAACCCUGACGCAGCGACGCCGCGUGGGUGAAGAAGGUUUUCGGAUCGUAAAGCCCUGUCAGGCGGGAAGAAAUGCCGGAUGGUUAAUAACCAUUUGGUUUGACGGUACCGCCAAAGGAAGCACCGGCUAACUCCGUGCCAGCAGCCGCGGUAAU
This 506-nucleotide ribosomal RNA is filed under the name uncultured bacterium. RNAcentral describes it as "bacterial SSU rRNA". It matches the Rfam family "Bacterial small subunit ribosomal RNA", at positions 45 to 524 of the family's 1533-position model. The record is from RNAcentral.